RNAcentral lists this long non-coding RNA (2559 nucleotides) under Oryza sativa (Asian cultivated rice). RNAcentral describes it as "long non-coding RNA (OSAT_LNC001769)". The record is from RNAcentral. Lineage: Eukaryota; Viridiplantae; Streptophyta; Magnoliopsida; Poales; Poaceae.
AACCUAAGAUUCCAUUAUUCACAGUAGCAGUUUCAAAAUCAGUAUGUCAGAUCGAAGCAAAGAAGAAAUCAGAAAAUAAAGCAAAGCAAUAUGUGUUUCCUUCAAAUAAAAAUAUAAUUUAGUUAGGAAGUUGAGGGAAACGGCUACACAUGCAUGUUUAUGCAGCAACAUAUCCUAUGCACACAGGCCCUCACGUGUACACACGGGCACACCAACUAAAAAAUGUCACCAAAAAAACUAGAAAAAAUCAUACACAUACUUUCAAUUGUAUUACACCUAGGGUUAAAAUCUUAACGUCAAAUUCAUUAUAUUUUAGCCGUAACAAAAUAAACAAAAAAUCUGACAGUUUUAAGGUUGCAAUUUUGUCAGAAUUUUAUCUUUUUUGUUAUUCUCUAUGUAGAAUGAAUUUGAAGAUGCGACUUUGCACGUAGAUGUAAUACUAUUGAAAGUACAUGUAUGAAUUUUCCUAAAAUUUUUUGUGAUAAUUUUUAGUUGGUGUACACGGUGUGUACACGCGAGGGCCUGUGUGCAUAGGAUAUGCUCCCUGUUUAUGCAACCACAACAAAUAUCCAACAGACUGUCAUAGGUAGUGGGCCGAGGGGUCGAGGCCCUAGGGAUAAGGAUAGAGUUGGUUGGAUAGGAUUAGACUGGGUCCUCCCUCCAUCUAUAUAAGGAUGGUUUGUAUCAUCAUUCUAAUUAAGCAAUGAAUCAAGAUUAGUCUCUCCCAGCCUAAGUCCUCCUCUCAUCCCUAGCAGCCGUCGCCGCCCGGCUAUCCUCUCGGCGGUGUUUACCCCCUAUGGAUCCUAACCCAUAACAACUUGGUAUCAGAGCCAUGGUUGUUGAAGAUAUGAUCAAAGAUCCUAGAGACAUGUGCAUCCGGAUCCUCAAAAGGAUGCAGGUCGACCUGGCGGUACUUGCAGCCUCAAUGAGGACGGAGCAUGCGCCAAUCGAGAAGGAAGAGAAGUGCAAUCUGCAGACGGCGGUGGUGGGCACAGCAAUGCCGUCGCUGGCCGCGGCUCCAUCCUCUCAGCCCUCCCCAAUGGAGGCUAUUGUGUCGUGCCAUCAUCUAUCAUCCAUGCGCCCACGACAGCAUGUAUUCAAGAAGCGUAAUUCAGGCAGGUCGUCAGGGUGCAGGGCAAGCCAUGGCGCGCGGCGUGGUGCGCGGCCGAGGGCAGCUGCACCUGCUUCCUCUGGGACAACCUUCCCUGAAGCAAGGCGGCCGGGGGAUCCUUGUUGGCAGGAGCAGGGGCCAUUUUCGGGUAGCCCUCGCCCAUGCAGUUGGCUAUGGCGCUGGCGCCGCCGCUGCUGGGGUCAUCGGAGGCGAAGACGGCGAUUCCGGCUGCCACGAAGACGCGGGCUGGUUUUUUUUUUGGGAAGCGAGCGGCAAGGCGGCAGGCGCAUUGGCGCGGGCUCCUGGCAACGCGGCGCGCACAACAGCGCGAUUCGUGCGCGCGGCAGUUGGGGAAGUGCGGCGUGGCCCUUGAUUCUCGGCGGGCGUCGCGCGCGGAGGCGUGGGAGACGACGCAGCAGUUGCGCAGCCCACGAGCGGCGGAAGCGCGGCUCCAACUACCGGCAGCGUUGCAUUCAGUGGAUAAGAUUUCACGUCCUGGUGGGAUCAGCAGAUCGAUCAAGCCAUCUUGGUGGCUCUUGGGCCAGUGGGCUGGUCCACAAAUUACAACACAAGGGCCUUCAACUAUGCCUUGGGCCUUAGGCAGUCAGUGUGGGCUAGAAAUGUUGGCACCAUGGCUGUUGUGCUGGUCCGGUGGAGCUAAUCUGAAUGUGCCAUCUACAAACCACCUUGGAAAACAGAUUAGAUGUGCAAUCAAGCUUGCAACGUGCUAUGGACUUAUCCUUUCUCUCAAAGCUUUGGGAUGGGGUCCACCUACAUCUGAUGUCGGCGAGAUAGCAUGGUGGUGCAUCAUAAUCUUUGAUUUAUUUAUCCUUUCAAUUUCAGUUUGCCAUAAAGUAAUAAGCCGAGAUGUAAAAGGCUUAAGUCAUAUAAGGCUUUAUUUAGGGAGUCGUUUGGGUCAGCUAAAUUGUGCUGCAGCUCGAGGGCGAGCUGCUCGAAAGGAGGGAUGUAGUGUCAUAGGUAGUGGGCCGAGGGGUCGAGGCCCUAGGGAUAAGGAUAGAGUUGGUUGGAUAGGAUUAGACUGGGUCCUCCCUCCAUCUAUAUAAGGAUGGUUUGUAUCAUCAUUCUAAUUAAGCAAUGAAUCAAGGUUAGUCUCUCCCAACCUAAGUCCCCCUCUCAUCCCUAGCAGCCGUCGCCGCCCGGCUAUCCUCCCGGCGGUGUUUACCCCCUAUGAAUCCUAACCCAUAACACAAACAGAAAUAGGACUCAUCAUUACAAAUUUCUAGUAGGUAACAAGUAUAUAUUCUUUCAUGUAGUAACACAAGAUAGUCAAAAAAGUGGUAGCUAGUUAUGCAUUCACCUUGAACCAUAGAAAAAUUUACAAUAUUUACCAAAACCACUAGCUGUGUAGGUUAUAUACAACUACAUCAAUGUGGAAAUUAAACUGAACCAUAUGAUAACUAGCAAGGAAAAAAUUUUGCCAUACCGUG